Molecule: ribosomal RNA, 845 nt
Filed under: Sarcocystis miescheriana
Lineage: Eukaryota; Apicomplexa; Conoidasida; Eucoccidiorida; Sarcocystidae
Description: SSU rRNA
Rfam family: Eukaryotic small subunit ribosomal RNA
Source: RNAcentral
UGUAUUCUAUGGCUGAUACAUGCGCAAAUACUAACAUCAUCUCUCUCUUUUUGGGGGUGUUGUGAUAUAGUAGUGUUUAUUAGAUACAGAACCAACACAUCAUUAUUACCAUACUUUAUGGUGGUGGUGAUGUAAAAUAAGGUGAUUCAUAGUAACCGAACGGAUCGCAUUAUAAUUAUCAUUAUUUGAUGAUUGGCGAUAGAUCAUUCAAGUUUCUGACCUAUCAGCUUUCGACGGUAGUGUAUUGGACUACCGUGGCAGUGACGGGUAACGGGGAAUUAGGGUUCGAUUCCGGAGAGGGAGCCUGAGAAACGGCUACCACAUCUAAGGAAGGCAGCAGGCGCGCAAAUUACCCAAUCCUGACUCAGGGAGGUAGUGACAAGAAAUAACAACACUGGAAAUUUGAUUUCUAGUGAUUGGAAUGAUGGGAAUCCAAACCCCUUUCAGAGUAACAAUUGGAGGGCAAGUCUGGUGCCAGCAGCCGCGGUAAUUCCAGCUCCAAUAGCGUAUAUUAAAGUUGUUGCAGUUAAAAAGCUCGUAGUUGGAUGUCUGUUGGAAGCAAUCAUCAGUCCGCCCUAUUUGAUUAGGGUGUGAAUAUGAUGAAUUCCGGCAUAAUUGUCUCCCUAUUGUUAAUAUUCUGAUUGUUAGAUUCAUUUCUAACAAUAAUACGAUUAUUAAUAAUAAGGGGGAAAUGUUACUUUGAGAAAAUUAGAGUGUUUGAAGCAGGCUUUUGUUGCCUUGAAUACUGCAGCAUGGAAUAACAAUAUAGGAUUUCGGUUCUAUUUUGUUGGUUCUUUUUUUAGGACUGAAAUAAUGAUUAAUAGGGACAGUUGGGGGCAUUCGUA